GAUGAACGCUGGCGGCGUGCUUAAUACAUGCAAGUCGAGCGGAAAGGUCUCUUCGGAGAUACUCGAGCGGCGGACGGGUGAGUAACGCGUAAGAAUGUACCCCAAAGUGAGGAAUAAGCACCAGAAAUGGUGUCUAAUGCCGCAUGUGCUCUUCGGAGUAAAGCUUUUUGCGCUUUGGGAACAGCUUGCGUCUGAUUAGCUAGUUGGUAAGGUAACGGCUUACCAAGGCGACGAUCAGUAGCUGGUCUGAGAGGACGAUCAGCCACACUGGGACUGAGACACGGCCCAGACUCCUACGGGAGGCAGCAGUGGGGAAUUUUGGACAAUGGGCGAAAGCCUGAUCCAGCAAUGCCGCGUGCAGGAUGAAGGCCUUCGGGUUGUAAACUGCUUUUGUACGGAACGAAAAGCCCCGGGUUAAUACCCUGGGGUCAUGACGGUACCGUAAGAAUAAGCACCGGCUAACUACGUGCCAGCCGCCGCAGUAA
This 485-nucleotide ribosomal RNA is filed under the name uncultured bacterium. Its description in RNAcentral is "partial 16S ribosomal RNA". It matches the Rfam family "Bacterial small subunit ribosomal RNA", at positions 28 to 523 of the family's 1533-position model. The record is from RNAcentral.